ACGGGUGAGUAACACGUGGGUGAUCUGCCCUGCACUUCGGGAUAAGCCUGGGAAACUGGGUCUAAUACCGGAUAUGACCUCCUAUCGCAUGGUGGGUGGUGGAAAGAUUUAUCGGUGCAGGAUGGGCCCGCGGCCUAUCAGCUUGUUGGUGGGGUAAUGGCCUACCAAGGCGACGACGGGUAGCCGACCUGAGAGGGUGACCGGCCACACUGGGACUGAGACACGGCCCAGACUCCUACGGGAGGCGGCAGUGGGGAAUAUUGCACAAUGGGCGAAAGCCUGAUGCAGCGACGCCGCGUGAGGGAUGACGGCCUUUGGGUUGUAAACCUCUUUCAGCAGGGACGAAGCGCAAGUGACGGUACCUGCAGAAGAAGCACCGGCUAACUACGUGCCAGCAGCCGCGGUAAUACGUAGGGUGCAAGCGUUGUCCGGAAUUACUGGGCGUAAAGAGUUCGUAGGCGGUUUGUCGCGUCGUUUGUGAAAGCCAGCAGCUCAACUGCUGGCUUGCAGGCGAUACGGGCAGACUUGAGUACUGCAGGGGAGACUGGAAUUCCUGGUGUAGCGGUGAAAUGCGCAGA
RNAcentral lists this ribosomal RNA (578 nucleotides) under uncultured bacterium. Its description in RNAcentral is "bacterial SSU rRNA". It matches the Rfam family "Bacterial small subunit ribosomal RNA", at positions 102 to 694 of the family's 1533-position model. The record is from RNAcentral.